Molecule: ribosomal RNA, 320 nt
Filed under: uncultured eukaryote
Lineage: Eukaryota
Description: partial 18S ribosomal RNA
Rfam family: Eukaryotic small subunit ribosomal RNA
Source: RNAcentral
CCCCUAGAUGUUCUGGGCCGCACGCGCGCUACACUGAACAGUUCAACAAGUCUUAACCUUGGCCGAUAGGUCUGGGUAAUCUUUGAACGCUGUUCGUGAUUGGGAUAGACCUUUGCAAUUAUGGGUCUUCAACGAGGAAUUCCUAGUAAACGCAAGUCAUCAGCUUGCAUUGAUUACGUCCCUGCCCUUUGUACACACCGCCCGUCGCACCUACCUAUUGAAUGGUCCGGUGAAAUCUCGGGACGGCGGCUUGGUCGCUUGCGUCCGACUGCUGAAACUUGAUUAAACCAUAUCAUUUAGAGGAAGGUGAAGUCGUAACA